AGUUGCCAUGGAAACGGGGAAACGUCAAGCAGCAAGCCUCCGUCUCGCUGUUGUUUUCACUGAUUUUAGCUAAGUUUAGUCCACAAAAUCACACACAUAAUAUAUAAAACUGUUCCUGACACUUUUCUUAAGUGUAACUGACACACUUCUGUUGAAUAUUUACUUAAAAGAAAUGAUUUAGUGUCUUUGAAGAAGUCCGUUAGCAUCUCAACCGUUUUCAGAAGCGGUUGGCUAACUCUAACGUUAUAUUUUGAGCCCUUGUUUAAUGAAAGUUUGGGCUUUUAAUCUCAUCUUUAUGUGUAGAUGAGAUGUUUUGAUAGCUUUGUUAAUGUUUUGCUGGCAUAUUAUCAAUGAAUGAUGGUAAACUUACUUAUUUAUUUAACCUAAAAGUAUGCGCUGGCUGUACCGUUAAUCGGUGACGUCACUUACAUGAGCGCGAAUAUUAGCUGAAACUAUUUCAAACACGGUUUGAUCUCUAAUGGUAAACAAAUAUUGAUAAAAAUUGUUCUGUAAUUUCAGGGACGACAGAAAACCCCCUCCAACAAAGGCUAAAUUACAAAGUUUGCAGCAUUUCUGGAGGAAACACAGUAGAUCCUUCCAUACUGAUGGCCUGCUGCACCCCAGCAGAGCUGAGUGACCUCCUGUCAAAGGCCAUGAACCAGAUGACUAUUGUUGUUUCAGUGAGGUUGUUCUUGAAAGGCCUGUAGGCUAAAUAAUCAGCUAAAAGAGUUAUGUUUGCCAGUGACAGACGCCAUACUGUUCCACUCAAAGAUGAGAUGUAAUCUCUAGCGUUUGGAGCUGUGAUUCUUCAGGACAAGAUGCCAUUCACACUUGAUACAUGAAGAUGCACAUCACUGACAGGCUUUCCUGUGUAACACUGAUUCAAGAUUUCCACCAUUGUAUUUAUCCAAAUGAGGAUCUCAGGGAUCCCCAGUUGAAGGCAUCAGGACAUCAGAUGUUGGCCUGGACAGAUGUACCAACAGUACACCACAAAGACCUCCGCUUUUAAAUGGAUGGCUGAUUACUACCAUGUUCUGUGCGGGUAUUAUUAUAGCAAAACUGAGCACCUGUGACAGUGGGAUUUCUAAUUUUAAAGAAUAGUCAUACAUCAGUAAAUUAUUUUUUUAUUUAAAAAUUUGAAAGGACUUUGAAAGAACUUUUUUCUCCAGUUACAAAAACAGCUACACCUUUUCAAAUUCUUCAUUGGGGGUGCACAAAUCCUAUUUCACAAAUUAAGAAAUUCAUAUGCUCACAUUUAAGCCGUGUUCUUCAGACACUGUAACAGUUCUGAUAUGAUGUCACACUUUGCAGUAUCUUUUUUAUUAACAUGAAUUCAAAUUUUAACAAAUAUAUUCAAAAUGUAAAGAUAUACAAUCUGACAAUCUGAUCUUGUCAUUAUUAAUCAAUCAGUAAUCAACACUGCACCACCCCGAAUUUACAUGCACUGUAGAACAGUGUUUCUCAACUCCAGUCCUCGGGACCCACUGCUCUGCACAUUUUGUACGUAUCCC
Molecule: long non-coding RNA, 1511 nt
Organism: Megalobrama amblycephala (Wuchang bream)
Lineage: Eukaryota; Metazoa; Chordata; Actinopteri; Cypriniformes; Xenocyprididae
Exons: 7
Source: RefSeq, a predicted model, not a curated record